UACAAAAGUGCAUUUUCCAUCCCUGUUUACCAAGUGAAAACACAUUCAUGUGUGGUAUAACUGAUAAAAAGGCAGCUUAAAUUACUCUUUUUCUUGUUCAAAGUAAUCAAAACCAUAAUUUGGACCUUUAACCUUAUGAAUGAAUACGUAGCAAAGCAAAAUAUAAUAUAUUAAAACAUAUAAUUCAGCACAGGGAAAAGAGCUAUAGAGGAAUGGGCCUUACUAGUGUGGAGUCCAUGCAACAUGCUCGCUAGUGGUGUCCCACUGAUUAUUGCUCCACUAAAACAGUGACAUAUAGGACCUUAGUAUUACAGAAAUUCAAUUUAACCUCCUAGGACCUGGCGUCCACAUAUGUCGACAUCACAUUUUGGGUUGUCUAGACCAAAAUACUAAAUUUUGCUCUACAGGGGCCUGAUAUACUGCCACUGUGGAUGUGUGGAUCUCAUUUCUGUCAGAAACAAAAAACAGGUAAAAAAAAAAAAAAGAAAAAAAAAAGAAAUCUGGCAAUUCUUUGUUUUUACAUUCAUCAGGUCCCAAUAUGCCCAAAUAUCAAAGAGAAGUUAAAAAUGCAUGCCAUUGGAAGAGUUCAGGUCUUAGGAGGUUAAUGAAAAAAUAAAUAAAUAAAUGCAAUGCAGUUUUGAGAAAGUUUACUGCAACUCACUCAAUGCGUUACAUCUCAGCUACAGCAGUAAGGUGGUUAAAUAAAGAAAAAAGAUACCCGUGUCCAUUGGUAAUAAAAGAAUAUGUCUGCAAGCGUAACAGUGGUGCAUAUGAUGUAUAUUUUUUCAAUAGCUGGAGCUGUAUUGUGCUUCACUACAUAUUAUUUUCAUUCUAUCCUUGUGCUUAAAAUAUACUCAUCUUUGAGAACAAAGCUGAAUAGGGGUGGGGGUUAUGUAAUAUAUGUUCUUAAUGUGAACUGAUUCACCUAUUCACAUGGGUCACGUGGCUUUAUGCUUAAUUUCAUGCUUAGGAAAAAGCCAGGCUCUAGUUUAGACUUUCAGGUGAAGAUCAGGCCUGAAUUUCUAUGCAUUGCACACUUCUUCCC
Molecule: long non-coding RNA, 1045 nt
Organism: Astatotilapia calliptera (eastern happy)
Lineage: Eukaryota; Metazoa; Chordata; Actinopteri; Cichliformes; Cichlidae
Source: Ensembl